AUACAUGCUGUGAGCAAUCACGUCGUGGUCCUAGUGGCGCACGGGUGAGUAACACGUGGGUAACCUGCCCUCGAGACCGGGAUACCUCUUCGAAAGGGGAAUCAAUACCGGAUACGCUCCUCGGGUCGGAAGACCUGGGGAGGAAAGGUGGCGCAAGCUGCCGCUCUUGGAGGGGCUCGCGGCCUAUCAGCUAGUUGGCGGGGUAACGGCCCACCAAGGCGAUGACAGGUAGCUGGUCUGAGAGGACGACCAGCCACACGGGGACUGAGACACGGCCCCGACUCCUACGGGAGGCAGCAGUGGGGAAUCUUCCGCAAUGGGCGAAAGCCUGACGGAGUGACGCCGCGUGUGGGACGAAGGCCUUCGGGUCGUAAACCACUGUCAGUGGGAAAGAGGGGCGUCGGCGUGAUAAGCGUCGGCGCUUGACGGUACCUGCAGAGGAAGCCCCGGCCAACUCUGUGCCAGCAGCCGCGGUAAGACAGAGGGGGCAAGCGUUGCUCGGAAUUACUGGGCGUAAAGGGCGCGUAGGUGGAAUGGCAAGUCGGUCGUGAAAGCCUCCGGCUCAACCGGAGAACGUCGAUCGAUACUGCCGUUCUUGAGGGUCGCAGAGGAGACUGGAAUUCCCGGUGUAGCGGUGAAAUGUGUAGAGAUCGGGAGGAACACCGGUGGCGAAGGCGGGUCUCUGGGCGACUCCUGACGCUGAGGCGCGAAAGCGUGGGGAGCAAACGGGAUUAGAUACCCCGGUAGUCCACGCUGUAAACGAUGACGACUAGGUGUGGGGGGGUUCAGUCCCUUCCGUGCCGCAGCUAACGCAUUAAGUCGUCCGCCUGGGGAGUACGGCCGCAAGGUUGAAACUCAAAGGAAUUGACGGGGGCCCGCACAAGCGGUGGAGCAUGUGGUUCAAUUCGAUGCAGAGCGAAGAACCUUACCUGGGCUUGACAUGACGGAAAGUAGGAACCGGAAACGGGGGACGACCUUGUUGAGUCA
This 987-nucleotide ribosomal RNA is filed under the name uncultured bacterium. RNAcentral describes it as "bacterial SSU rRNA". It matches the Rfam family "Bacterial small subunit ribosomal RNA", at positions 66 to 1027 of the family's 1533-position model. The record is from RNAcentral.